GACGUAGGGCGCAAGCGUUGUCCGGAUUUAUUGGGCGUAAAGAGCUCGUAGGCGGCUCGUUGCGUCGGCUGUGAAAACCCGCAGCUUAACUGUGGGCCUGCAGCCGAUACGGGCGGGCUGGAGUUCGGUAGGGGAGACUGGAAUUCCUGGUGUAGCGGUGAAAUGCGCAGAUAUCAGGAGGAACACCUAUGGCGAAGGCAGCUCGCUGGGACGUUACUGACUCUGAGACGCGAAAUCGUCGUUAGCAAACAGG
This 253-nucleotide ribosomal RNA is filed under the name uncultured bacterium. Its description in RNAcentral is "partial 16S ribosomal RNA". It matches the Rfam family "Bacterial small subunit ribosomal RNA", at positions 524 to 776 of the family's 1533-position model. The record is from RNAcentral.